CAAAUACUGAGUACAGCUCCAGAAAUAAGAAAAGUAGUCCUUAUUGGUCCAGGAUUGAAGAAACGGAAAUGUAAGCUAUCGAGCUGUAUUGCUUAACUGAUGUAAGCCUAUGAAAAGCAGAAUAGCCAACAGCUGUGGGACUGAGGCUGUCUACAUACAUCCUGAUAUGCAUCCUGGUGCUCUGAAGUCACAGAAUUAAAAUAUAUCCUUUCUGUGAAAGGUACAUUUUGUACCUGUGAUCAGACAACAAGUGAUGGUCCUGUAUUGAAGAUUGAAGUCUGCUGUUGGAGAUCAAACAACUAAUAAAAGAUGAGAGAAACCUCUGGUUCAGAUUUGUUGACACCAAAAACUACUGCUGAAGAAAAACAGGACAUACACCAAAUAUUGCAACAACCCUGCAGGUUUUACCAUGGUAUUUUUCUAAAAAUGAAGUGCUUUUAUUUGAAGACAACAAAGUACAUAUUUGAAAAGAGUUGCCAUCAUUAAAACAUAAUUAGAGUUGUGAAGCCACUAAGCAUCUUAAAUUGUGGCACAGUACAAUAUUUAUCAGGCUUCAGAACACAAUCACAUCUACGGCCAUCCUGCCAUGUUUUGUUUUUUCACUCAGCAAGAUUACCCAUCUGUCACAGUUUAGUGGAGUUAAACUUACCAUCUCUUUAUGUGACAUAUUCUGAGGUGGAAGAGUAGGGAUUAUAGGGUUGCACUGAAGACCAAGCCAACAAAAUGCCAAGAAAACACAUGCACUUAAGCAUUCCUUUAGAAAGAUUUUUUAUUUUUUUAAUUUUAUUUUUUUUUGCUGUUAAAGAAUAAUGGAGCUAAUACGAAACUUUGACAGGCAUAAACCUAAUGAAUAAUUCUGAUAGUGCAAUCUACAGGUGACUCGCAAGCAGUAAAUCGAAUGGUGUUAAUUUAAUGCAAGAAAUGAUCUUUAAAAAGCCAGAAAAAAAGGCAAAUGUAUAAUUCAUAUGGCUAAUAUUUGAGGUAUUUUGUACGCAAGUCUUCAUGUUUCCUGUGUCUACAUGUGCAUAUUCUUUUCACGUGGGUUAAAAAUAAAAAAGUACAAAUGACCUUCA
Molecule: long non-coding RNA, 1073 nt
Filed under: Anas platyrhynchos platyrhynchos (common mallard)
Lineage: Eukaryota; Metazoa; Chordata; Aves; Anseriformes; Anatidae
Description: lncRNA (ENSAPLG00000023357.1)
Source: RNAcentral